AUUGAGCGCUGGCGGCAGGCUUAACACAUGCAAGUCGAGCGGGGUGAUGGUGCUUGCACUAUCACUUAGCGGCGGACGGGUGAGUAAUGCUUAGGAAUCUGCCUAUUAGUGGGGGACAACAUCUCGAAAGGGAUGCUAAUACCGCAUACGUCCUACGGGAGAAAGCAGGGGAUCACUUGUGACCUUGCGCUAAUAGAUGAGCCUAAGUCGGAUUAGCUAGUUGGUGGGGUAAAGGCCUACCAAGGGGACGGUCUGUAGCGGGUCUGAGAGGACGAUCCGGCACACGGGGACUGAGACACGGCCCAGACGCCUACGGGAGGCAGCAGUGGGGAAUAUGGGACAAUGGGGGGAACCCUGAGCCAGCCAUGCCGCGUGUGUGAAGAAGGCCUUAUGGUUGUAAAGCACUUUAAGCGAGGAGGAGGCUCUUUUGGUUAAUACCCAAGAUGAGUGGACGUUACUCGCAGAAUAAGCACCGGCUAACUCUGUGCCAGCCGCCGCCGUAA
RNAcentral lists this ribosomal RNA (503 nucleotides) under uncultured bacterium. RNAcentral's name for it is "partial 16S ribosomal RNA". It matches the Rfam family "Bacterial small subunit ribosomal RNA", at positions 30 to 523 of the family's 1533-position model. The record is from RNAcentral.